CUCUGCUUUCUUCCUGUCACCCCCUUUUCUCUUUCCAUCAUCAUUUACAGCCAUUUCCUGCCAUUGUGUGGGCCCAGCUAUAGGAGGGAAGUCAGAAGCAGUCAGACUGGGAAUCAAGAUUGGACAUCGCUCGCCUCUGCGCAGGAUCACGGAGGGAGGGAACCCAUGGAUAUGUGGAGGGAUCAGCUAGCUGUUCUUGGGAUUCUCCUGCUAAAGCAAAAUGCCACUGCUGGAACCCCUGCAAGGAGAGAUCUUUCCAGAAUCCCCAAGGAAGACUUCAGAAAAGACCUGCUCCACAGAUUCCUGAAAUUAUGGGACCAGUUCUGUGGGGAAUUAGAAAUGGGUUCUGUUGUUUGGCCCUGUUGGAAGCUGAAAUAGAUAGGAAAAAAAAGGAGAAACCAAUGGAAGUGACUGAUAAACCUGGUGGAAUGGAAUGGCUUUAACAAUGACUUUGAGGUCUGAAAGCUGACUUGAAAUCCUGGCCCAUACAUUUAAUGGCUGUGUGGGGCCCUUAGCAUCUGAAAAUAAAGGAAUUGGAAAAGAU
Marmota flaviventris (yellow-bellied marmot) is the source of this 544-nucleotide long non-coding RNA. RefSeq lists it as uncharacterized. NCBI's taxonomy places the organism in Eukaryota, Metazoa, Chordata, Mammalia, Rodentia, Sciuridae. The record is from RefSeq and is a predicted model, not a curated record.